UCUUUUUUUAUUUCUAAACUCUCUUCUUUCAUUUCAAUUUUAAACCUUACUACCAACUAGAACAAAUCCAUACCUUACUUUUCUUCAAGAUGGCAAGCACUAAUUCACAAAGAUGUUGCUUUCUCAUCAGAUGCAAAAAUAGAGGCCAAGUUUUGCCUCCUCUUUUCAAAUCGUUACUAUCUCAACAUGGCCAUCAUAGAAUUAUCUUCAUGCAUGGAAUAGAACAAUGGAAUAUUACAGUAAAUGAUGACUUGUUUGGAGCAGGAUGGGAUGAAUACUGUGAACAGAAUAUUGCUAAGGAACAUCACAUACUAUUGCUUCGACAUACUGGGAAUUUAUUUUUUGAUGUUAUUAAUUUUUGUGAACUGCAACAGCAAGUUAAUCUCAGCUGGACAAUCCCUCUAACCAACCUUCAUCUUCAGCAAGAUUGUAUACAUUCAUAAUACAUCUUUAUCCUUUCUAUUUCAUACUAAUGUUCCAAUCCGACAUUAUUUAUUCCAACAAAAAUGUUUCUUAUGUGCAGCUCAUGCUUGUUCACCAAUUCAUGAAGAAAUAGUGACAUCUUCACUUCAACCUCAUUUUUCGUAAGAUUUAUCCAGUUCAGUAUGCUUUUAUCAAAACUUUCACUCAGAUGACCCGUAUACAUUGAAAAUCCCACGAUUUGUUGACUACUUUCUCAAUGAACAAAAAACUCCACUUAUAGCUCUCAGAACUGGAGAUAACAUAUCAGAAAUUGGGAUGAAAGGGAAGCGGCUCAAAAAAAAUUGGAAAGCUUUCGUUCUCCAACAUCAACUCCAGCACAAUGACGUCCUUGUUUUCAUCCCAGAAUCAAGGACUAUCUUUACUGUUUUAAUAUUUGAUAGCAAUGGGGAUGAAAAAAUUUUCCCUUGGUACCCUGUAUUUCAUAUGCAUUAUUAUAAUUAGCCAAUUUAUUAUUAUAGUUACUCAUUAACUUUUUGU
This is a non-coding RNA of Coffea arabica (coffee), 960 nucleotides long. The record is from RefSeq and is a predicted model, not a curated record. NCBI's taxonomy places the organism in Eukaryota, Viridiplantae, Streptophyta, Magnoliopsida, Gentianales, Rubiaceae.